AGUGAACGCUGGCGGUAGGCCUAACACAUGCAAGUCGAACGGCAGCACAGUAAGAGCUUGCCCUUACGGGUGGCGAGUGGCGGACGGGUGAGGAAUACAUCGGAAUCUACUUUUUCGUGGGGGAUAACGUAGGGAAACUUACGCUAAUACCGCAUACGACCUACGGGUGAAAGCAGGGGAUCUUCGGACCUUGCGCGAUUGAAUGAGCCGAUGUCGGAUUAGCUAGUUGGCGGGGUAAAGGCCCACCAAGGCGACGAUCCGUAGCUGGUCUGAGAGGAUGAUCAGCCACACUGGAACUGAGACACGGUCCAGACUCCUACGGGAGGCAGCAGUGGGGAAUAUUGGACAAUGGGCGCAAGCCUGAUCCAGCUAUACCGCGUGGGUGAAGAAGGCCUUCGGGUUGUAAAGCCCUUUUGUUGGGAAAGAAAAGCAGCAGGUUAAUACCCCGCUGUUCUGACGGUACCCAAAGAAUAAGCACCGGCUAACUUCGUG
Molecule: ribosomal RNA, 492 nt
Filed under: uncultured bacterium
Lineage: Bacteria
Description: partial 16S ribosomal RNA
Rfam family: Bacterial small subunit ribosomal RNA
Source: RNAcentral